This 300-nucleotide ribosomal RNA is filed under the name uncultured bacterium. RNAcentral describes it as "bacterial SSU rRNA". It matches the Rfam family "Bacterial small subunit ribosomal RNA", at positions 28 to 325 of the family's 1533-position model. The record is from RNAcentral.
GACGAACGCUGGCGGCGUGCUUAACACAUGCAAGUCGAGCGGUAAGGCCCUUUCGGGGGUACGACGAGCGGCGAACGGGUGAGUAACACGUGGGUGACCUGCCCUCAGCUCUGGGAUAAGCCCGGGAAACUGGGUCUAAUACUGGAUAUGACUCCAUGACGCAUGUUGUGGGGUGGAAAGCCUUGUGCGGCUGAGGAUGGGCCCGCGGCCUAUCAGCUUGUUGGUGGGGGNGAUGGCCUACCAAGGCGACGACGGGUAGCCGGCCUGAGAGGGCGGACCGGCCACACGUGGGACUGAGAC